Molecule: ribosomal RNA, 301 nt
Filed under: uncultured bacterium
Lineage: Bacteria
Description: partial 16S ribosomal RNA
Rfam family: Bacterial small subunit ribosomal RNA
Source: RNAcentral
CAGCAGCCACGGUAAUACGUAGGUGGCGAGCGUUGUCCGGAAUCAUUGGGCGUAAAGGGAGCGCAGGCGGGCAAGUAAGUCUUUCUUAAAAGUUCGGGGCUCAACCCCGUGAUGGGAAAGGAACUACAUGUCUUGAGUACAGGAGAGGAAAGCGGAAUUCCCAGUGUAGCGGCGAAAUGCGUAGAUAUUGGGAGGAACACCAGUGGCGAAGGCGGCUUUCUGGACUGCAACUGACGCUGAGGCUCGAAAGCCAGGGGAGCGAACGGGAUUAGAGACCCCAGUAGUCCCUGUCUCUUAUACC